RNAcentral lists this ribosomal RNA (204 nucleotides) under Triticum aestivum (bread wheat). RNAcentral describes it as "partial small subunit ribosomal RNA". Lineage: Eukaryota; Viridiplantae; Streptophyta; Magnoliopsida; Poales; Poaceae. The record is from RNAcentral.
UCAAGAGAUUCGUUGCGAGCCUAUUAAUGAAGCAAAUUCAAUGAAACAACAACUGGUACCGUAUAGAAGAGGCCAGAAACUAGAGAGUCUUGACCAAUUCGAAAGAUCAUUUGGUGUAGUUCAAAUAACAGAAUUGGAACUUGUUUGGUCAAGUAAGGGAUCCGAACCGACUGAUGUUGAAGAAUCAGCGGAUGAGUUGUGGUU